UCUCCGUAGGUGAACCUGCGGAGGGAUCAUUACGGUUUGGAACGCCCCCGGUCCGCCGGCGGGCAGCUCGGGGGGGAAAAGACGCGCCGGGCGACCUUUGGGCCCUCCGGCGCGGCCCCCGGGUCCUCCAACUCUCACCCCAUGUGUUUCGACCUCGUUGCUUCGGGGGCCACCCCGCUCGUCGGGGGCCCCCGGUGGCACCAACAACCAAACUCGUGUAUCUUCGCGUCCGAGUCGUAUACCAAUUAUACAAAACUUUCAACAACGGAUCUCUUGGUUCUGGCAUCGAUGAAGAACGCAGC
This 302-nucleotide unclassified non-coding RNA is filed under the name uncultured fungus. RNAcentral describes it as "sequence contains ITS1, 5.8S rRNA gene". The stretch from base 254 to 302 matches the Rfam family "5.8S ribosomal RNA", at positions 1 to 49 of the family's 154-position model. Lineage: Eukaryota; Fungi. The record is from RNAcentral.